Molecule: unclassified non-coding RNA, 375 nt
Filed under: uncultured bacterium
Lineage: Bacteria
Description: contains 16S-23S intergenic spacer region
Source: RNAcentral
UCCGGUUUGGCACCGGCAGUCUCCCUAGAGUUCCCGGCAUGACCCGCUGGCAACUAAGGACAGGGGUUGCGCUCGUUGCGCCACUUAAGGCAACACCUCACGGCACGAGCUGACGACAGCCAUGCACCACCUGUGCAGGCUCCGAAGAGCGCCCGCUUUCACGGUUCUACCACCUACAUGUCAAGGCCAGGUAAGGUUCUUCGCGUUGCAUCGAAUUAAGCCACAUACUCCACCGCUUGUGCAGGCCCCCGUCAAUUUCUUUGAGUUUUAAUCUUGCGACCGUACUUCCCAGGCGGUCGACUUCACGCGUUAGCUUCGUUACUGAGAGUGUCAAACCCCCAACAACCAGUCGACAUCGUUUAGGGCGUGGACUAC